RNAcentral lists this ribosomal RNA (474 nucleotides) under Triticum aestivum (bread wheat). RNAcentral's name for it is "partial small subunit ribosomal RNA". Lineage: Eukaryota; Viridiplantae; Streptophyta; Magnoliopsida; Poales; Poaceae. The record is from RNAcentral.
AUGAGAGCUCUAUUCUGGAAUGUUCGUGGUUUCGGUGCUAGGGGGCGCCGAGACCAGAUUCAUGACUUGGUUUGUGGAGAGCAUAUGGACAUUUUAGGGCUGGUUGAAACGUUUAAGGAAUCCUUCUCCUCUCCCGAACUGUCUGCGGUGGCUGACAUGGACAGGUUCGACUGGCACUUUCUCCCUGCUUCGGGCCAUUUUGGGGGCAUUCUAAUAGGGUCCAAGCGGGACGUGUUUGACUUCAUUACCUUUGAUCAUGGCAUCUUUUGGGCUAGUUGUGUGGUUCAUCAUCGCCAACUGAACACUCUAUGGGAAUUUAUGGUGGUAUACGGCCCCGCGGAUCACUCUCUUGCCCCUCUAUUUUUGGACGAACUGUCGAUUAAGAUUGAAGCCUGUAACAUUCCUCUUCUAAUUGGGGGCGAUUUCAAUUUGUUACGAUCACCGGCGGAUAGGAAUAGUCCUAAUUUUUCUUAG